Molecule: ribosomal RNA, 465 nt
Filed under: uncultured bacterium
Lineage: Bacteria
Description: partial 16S ribosomal RNA
Rfam family: Bacterial small subunit ribosomal RNA
Source: RNAcentral
CCUACGGGAGGCAGCAGUGGGGAAUAUUGCGCAAUGGGCGAAAGCCUGACGCAGCGACGCCGCGUGCGGGAUGAAGGUCUUCGGAUCGUAAACCGCUGUCAGCAGGGAAGAACGGUCACUGUGCUAAUCAGCAGUGAAUUGACGGUACCUGCAAAGAAAGCACCGGCUAACUCCGUGCCAGCAGCCGCGGUAAUACGGAGGGUGCGAGCGUUAAUCGGAAUUAUUGGGCGUAAAGCGCUCGUAGGCGGUAUGUCAAGUCAAGGGUGAAAUCCCCGCGCUCAACGCGGGAACUGCCUUUGAUACUAGCAAACUGGAGUGUGUGAGAGGAUAGUGGAAUUCCAGGUGAAGGAGUGAAAUCCGUAGAUAUCUGGAGGAACAUCAGUGGCGAAGGCGACUAUCUGGCACAUAACUGACGCUGAGGAGCGAAAGCGUGGGUAGCAAACAGGAUUAGAUACCCCAGUAGUC